GACCUCAAAUCGGGUGGGACUACCCGCUGAACUUAAGCAUAUCAAUAAGCGGAGGAAAAGAAACUAACAAGGAUUCCCCUAGUAACGGCGAGUGAAGAGGGAAAAGCUCAAAUUUUGAAUCUGGUGUCUUUGACUCCCGAGUUGUAAUCUAGAGAAGUGUUUUCCGUGUCGGACCGUGCACAGUUCCCUGGAACGGGGCGUCAUAGAGGGUGAGAAUCCCGUAUAUGGCACGGACUGCCGAUGCUUUGUGAUACACUCUCAACGAGUCGAGUUGUUUGGGAAUGCAGCUCAAAAUGGGUGGUAAAUUCCAUCUAAAGCUAAAUAUUGGCGAGAGACCGAUAGCGAACAAGUACCGUGAGGGAAAGAUGAAAAGCACUUUGGAAAGAGAGUGAAACAGUACGUGAAAUUGUUGAAAGGGAAGCGUUUGAAGUCAG
Molecule: ribosomal RNA, 434 nt
Filed under: uncultured fungus
Lineage: Eukaryota; Fungi
Description: eukaryotic LSU rRNA
Rfam family: Eukaryotic large subunit ribosomal RNA
Source: RNAcentral